UAGGGAAUCUUCCGCAAUGGGCGAAAGCCUGACGGAGCAACGCCGCGUGAGUGAUGAAGGUCUUCGGAUCGUAAAACUCUGUUAUUAGGGAAGAACAAAUGUGUAAGUAACUAUGCACGUCUUGACGGUACCUAAUCAGAAAGCCCCGGCUAACUACGUGCCAGCAGCCGCGGUAAUACGUAGGUGGCAAGCGUUAUCCGGAAUUAUUGGGCGUAAAGCGCGCGUAGGCGGUUUUUUAAGUCUGAUGUGAAAGCCCACGGCUCAACCGUGGAGGGUCAUUGGAAACUGGAAAACUUGAGUGCAGAAGAGGAAAGUGGAAUUCCAUGUGUAGCGGUGAAAUGCGCAGAGAUAUGGAGGAACACCAGUGGCGAAGGCGACUUUCUGGUCUGUAACUGACGCUGAUGUGCGAAAGCGUGGGGAUCAAACAGG
RNAcentral lists this ribosomal RNA (429 nucleotides) under Actinomycetes bacterium. RNAcentral describes it as "Actinobacteria bacterium partial 16S ribosomal RNA". It matches the Rfam family "Bacterial small subunit ribosomal RNA", at positions 355 to 776 of the family's 1533-position model. Lineage: Bacteria; Bacillati; Actinomycetota; Actinomycetes. The record is from RNAcentral.